RNAcentral lists this unclassified non-coding RNA (329 nucleotides) under soil metagenome. RNAcentral describes it as "partial contains 5.8S ribosomal RNA, internal transcribed spacer 2, and large subunit ribosomal RNA". The stretch from base 1 to 120 matches the Rfam family "5.8S ribosomal RNA", at positions 35 to 154 of the family's 154-position model. The record is from RNAcentral.
GAUGAAGAACGUAGCGAAAUGCGAUAAGUAAUGCGAAUUGCAGAAUUCAGUGAAUCAUCGAAUCUUUGAACGCACAUUGCGCCCCCUGGUAUUCCGGGGGGCAUGCCUGUCCGAGCGUCAUUACAACCCUCAAGCUCAGCUUGGUGUUGGGCCCCGCCGCCCCGGCGGGCCCUAAAGUCAGUGGCGGUGCCGUCCGGCUCCGAGCGUAGUAAUUCUUCUCGCUCUGGAGGUCCGGUCGUGUGCUCGCCAGCAACCCCCAAUUUUUUUCAGGUUGACCUCGGAUCGAGUAGGACUACCCGCUGAACUUAAGCAUAUCAAUAAGCGGAGGA